RNAcentral lists this long non-coding RNA (3669 nucleotides) under Equus caballus (horse). Its description in RNAcentral is "lncRNA (ENSECAG00000045294.1)". Lineage: Eukaryota; Metazoa; Chordata; Mammalia; Perissodactyla; Equidae. The record is from RNAcentral.
CAGGCCUUUAUGUACUUCUUCUGCUGUUAAUAAUUAUUGUUGUUUUGGACUCCCAUUUUGUGCCAGGUACUUUGCACAGGUAAUUUGGACUCUCUGCUUGUGGAUACGAGAGCAUAUUCUCGAUUGCUUGUCGGCACAUGAGAUUGCCCUGCUGGCUCCUUUCAGAGAUGACAACUGCAAGCUCUCUGCAGUCUGGAGGAGAGGAAACGCUGUUCCUGGAGGAUUGCUUGAAGGCUGUGCUGUCCGCUUGUGCCGCAGGAGUGCCUGUGCUCUGCCCUGAUUUCCAGUCAGGCUAUCCCUUCCCUUGCUGCCUGCUCCAUUCCGGGCAGAAUUGCCUCAUUGAGCUCCACUUUGGCGUUAUGCAUUGGCUUGUGCUGAAGGCAGAACCAGCCCUAAUAAGCUGGUUACUGUGCCUCUUGUAGGAGAGGUGCUGCCAUGGGGAUUGUGGAGGGGCAUUUCUCUCCCUCCUAGAACCGGGAAAAGGAGGGUUGAUCAUGGGAAGUUUCUUUUUAUCUGGUGGAAGUGAGUCUGUAUGCAAGUGUUUCUUCCUCCUUGCUUUGUCUGCAGGGAAGCACAUAGCCAAGUGUAUGACCCUCUCUAGGAGGUGCCCAGGACUGCAGUGUCAACACCUCUAUGUGCUGACCUCACCCUUGUCAGGGAUUGACCAGAGCAUGCUGGUCCCUUCAGGCCACUCUUUGGGCUGUCCUUUGGGGGUCCACUUCUGCAUCUGACUUAGUCCUCCCAUCCCCAUCAAGCAACCUUGGGAGCAGGUCUUCCUUUCCUCCCUGCAGACCUGUGCCUUCCUGGCAUCCCAACAGAUGUGGCUGACAUUUCAGGUUUCCAUGGGAACAGAGUCCGACUGUAGCCAGACAACUCACUAGAGAGGCUGGGGAGGAGUGAGCGUGUGAGUGAGUGUGUGUAUGUGCGCACGUGAUGCUCUAGGAGCCCAGGGUUCUGCGCAGCUUCUCCGUCUUGCACUGGCAGUGGCAGCCUCCUCUUGGUGGUAAUUGGGCCUGUCUGUAGCCCCUACAUCUCCAUCCUUGACAUAAUAUUGCACCAGGGUCCAUCCAUCUGCAUAAUCUUCUUAACCUGCUCCCACAAGAGAGUUUAAAAGAUCUGGACUGUUGGAAAAUGACCAUAAAGCCUGCAAGCAGAUACCUUUAGCAGCAACGCCAACAUCUAUCACAAGGUCAGGCCUUGGGGAAGGCUGAGGAAAGGCCAGGUGAGUUUGCUAAUCUGAUCACCCAGGACCAUGGGAAUGCCCAUUUCCCUCGUGGCACCUGCCUGGCCAGAUUUCUCUCUCUGGUCUCUGCUGGACUCCACCUAGCCUCUUUUCCUUGGCAGCAGCUCCUGGCACAGCCUGAUGCUGAGGCAGCUGUUUCUGACCAGGUCAAAGGCUCAGGAUGUGGCCCUUAAGAAGGAAUGAUGUGCUCCCCACGCUGCCCUGAUAUUUACUUUGACCUAGUCCAUGACCCUCCCUUCCUACUUGAGAAAACCAGCCUGCUGAGUCCUGGAGGCCCACAAAGGGGAAGUGCCAGAGGUGCUGGAACCCAAGUCUCUGACACCCUGUGCAGUUCUCAUCAUGCAGCUGAAGCCACGUGUCCCUUGGCGGUUAUUUGAUGAGCUAACUAUUCGGCUGUGGAAGUCUGACAGUUCCAUGGAGGCCCAAACACACUCCUGUGAGAUGUUGGGGUGCUAGAAGGAAUAACUUCUUGGGAGGCAAGACCCUUGGCCUGCAUCUCAGGUCUGCUAAGCCACCGUGUGAUGCUGAGUGAGCAGCUUGCCCUCUCUGGGCCGUAGCACCAGAGUUGUACUGUGAGUUGUCUGACUCUGGGAUCUCUCAAGGCCUCUUCAGGGACUCCUGCUCUGGGCAAUGUCAAGAUCUUCCCCAAGGCUCAAAGGAGAAGCUUUAGGUGGCAGACGUGAGUAUGCUGAGUAGGACUGGGGCCCACGGCCCUGCGGAGGAUGGUCCGCAGCAGCCCCUUCUCCUCCCUGCCGCCCUGGUGUUGGAGGCCCUGGAGCGAGCAUGGCGACAUCGGGCUGCCUGCUGCCCCCUGGCUGGCACAGUGGCCCACCUCUUUCCUUCUUCAUCCCUCUGUUCUUCCUGGGGAUCCCCUGGUGACGAAUGCUCGCUGUCUCUUCUGGAUGGGAAGUGGGCAUGAAACAUCUCCCACGGUUCAUGGGCGCUGGCCCUCGGACGUGGCAGAGUCCCACCCGUUCUUGGGCCCAACCUGGGCAGGUACGCAGUGGCAGAGAGGAAGGAGUGACGGCCUGCUCUCAGGAGCACUAGUCUGGCGGGGGAGGCAGCAGUACCAUUACCAUGGUUGUGAAUCCUCGUCCACUCACUUAACUGGCUUAGGCAUGUCACCUGUCCCUCUUUCCUAGCGCUCACGGCCGCCUCUACAGCCCAUCCUGGGGGGCGGGAAGGAGCCCCUCACCUCAGUUCUCCCAGGUUGUCCUUCUCCCUUCCAGAUGUGGGCACAGUCCAGCGUGCCCAGACAUCAGAGGGAGGACCCUCUGCUCAUCACCCCCGGUCCUCAGGACCUGCCACUUGCCCUGCCUGCGUGGCCCCAUCCACAGAAGGGUGCAGCCACCUUCCAGCACCAUCUAGGGCACGGGCUCCUUUCUGGGGCUGCCCAUGGUCCAUGACCCCCAUGAGGCCUGGUGGAGCCCUUGCUCUGGGCUCUUACUUGUUCCCUGGGGGCAGCACCAGGAAGCCGUGGGCAGGGCCCCUCUCCUUGAGGAACAGCUCUCAUUGCUUUCCUCCCUCCAGCUUGGGGAAAUCUCUUUUUGGUUUGGGGAGAAAUCCUUCCCCAUUCACGAUUCUUCCGAGAUCCCUUCCUUCCUGCUGAGAACUUGGUUCUCCCUCUUUCUUUCUCUGCAAAUCCUCCAUAUUCUUCUAACAGAUUUAUACUUUGUGGAAGCAAAAGCCAGGGUGUCCUUCAGGCAACUUCUGCUUUCUGCUGUGCAGCAAUCCACUUGUGAAGCAAGGAUACACAGAGACCAGGGACAGGAAAAGGAAAGCAGAAAAUUCAGAAAGGAGAAGGCUCCAUGAGUGCGUAUUUUAAAAUAGUGCUCAGGUACACCAUUUGGUGGAAACAUACAUGAACAUGAGUGCCUGCGACAGGCUCACGACUAAGGUCCCCAUGAAACAAAUGGGCUCAGACAAGGGCUAGAUUCUGCUGCGCUGGCUCAGGCCCUGGGGUGAGGACAGGGCAGGACAGGUCCUUGGCUGCAUAACUGGGAGCCAUCCAUGAUGGCAAAACAGCAUUAAACCACACUUGGACCAAGAGGGAUGUCUAUCAGAAACAUCAGUCGUGAGGUGCUAUGCAGAGGGAGGGCAGCCAGGUCCUCGGCUGCAAGCAGGAAGUGGAAACCUAGCCUGAGAUUCAGAAGAGGCAAAGAUCUUGGGCUUGGGGAGUGGCCCUAAGUGGGGCAUGGUUUUGUGGUUCAAGCUGAGGAGUUCAAACCUGGUCCUUAAGCCAUAGGGAGCCAUGGAAGGUUUUUGAGCAGAGGAGUGGGAGAUGAGAGAACUGGAAAGGUCCUGAGUCAGUUUGAAGAGACGAGAGGAAUAGAUAAUCACUGAGCUGGAGGGUAUUUGGAAGACUUCUGGAAGGACUCAUUCAUUCAUUCACUCAACGAAUACUUAUCUUGCACCUUUCACGUGCC